This 292-nucleotide ribosomal RNA is filed under the name uncultured bacterium. RNAcentral's name for it is "partial 16S ribosomal RNA". It matches the Rfam family "Bacterial small subunit ribosomal RNA", at positions 505 to 796 of the family's 1533-position model. The record is from RNAcentral.
GUGUCAGCAGCCGCGGUAAUACGUAGGGUGCAAGCGUUAAUCGGAAUUACUGGGCGUAAAGGGCGCGUAGGCGGUUUCGUUAGUCAGGCGUGAAAUUCCUGGGCUUAACUGGGAGGGUGCGCCGAAGACUGGAAGGCUUGAGUAUGGGAGAGGUAAGCGGAAUUCCUGGUGUAGCGGUGAAAUGCGUAGAUAUCAGGAGGAACACCUGCGGUGUAGACGGCUUACUGGACCAUCACUGACGCUGAGGCACGAAAGCGUGGGGAGCAAACAGGAUUAGAUACCCCUGUAGUCC